GCUGGGUGUGGUGGCAUCAGCCUGUAGUCCCAGCUACUCAGGAGGGAGGCUGAGACUGGAGGAUCACUUGAGCCCAGGAGUUCUGGGCUGUAGUGCACUACACCAGGUGUCUGCACUGAAUUCGGCAUUGAUAUGGUGACCUCCCAGGAGCAAGGGACCACCAGGUUGCCUAAGAAGAGGUGAACUAGCCCAGGUUGGAAAUGAAACAGGUCAAAACUCCCAUGUUGAUCAGUAGUGGGAUCAUGCUGUGAAUAGCCACUGAACUCCAGCCUGGGCAACAUAGCCAGACCCUGUCUCU
Molecule: signal recognition particle RNA, 298 nt
Filed under: Saimiri boliviensis boliviensis (Bolivian squirrel monkey)
Lineage: Eukaryota; Metazoa; Chordata; Mammalia; Primates; Cebidae
Description: Metazoan signal recognition particle RNA (ENSSBOG00000013690.1)
Rfam family: Metazoan signal recognition particle RNA
About the family: The signal recognition particle (SRP) is a universally conserved ribonucleoprotein. It is involved in the co-translational targeting of proteins to membranes.
Source: RNAcentral